Molecule: ribosomal RNA, 898 nt
Filed under: Penicillium cinnamopurpureum
Lineage: Eukaryota; Fungi; Ascomycota; Eurotiomycetes; Eurotiales; Aspergillaceae
Description: LSU rRNA
Rfam family: Eukaryotic large subunit ribosomal RNA
Source: RNAcentral
CAAUAAGCGGAGGAAAAGAAACCAACAGGGAUUGCCCCAGUAACGGCGAAGUGAAGCGGCAAGAGCUCAAAUUUGAAAGCUGGCUCCUUCGGGGUCCGCAUUGUAAUUUGCAGAGGAUGCUUCGGCAGCGGUCCCCGUCUAAGUACCCUGGAACGGGUCGUCAUAGAGGGUGAGAAUCCCGUAUGGGACGGGGUGCCCGCUACCGUGUGAAGCUCCUUCGACGAGUCGAGUUGUUUGGGAAUGCAGCUCUAAAUGGGUGGUAAAUUUCAUCUAAAGCUAAAUAUUGGCCGGAGACCGAUAGCGCACAAGUAGAGUGAUCGAAAGAUGAAAAGCACUUUGAAAAGAGAGUUAAAAAGCACGUGAAAUUGUUGAAAGGGAAGCGCUUGCGACCAGACUCGCCCACGGGGUUCAGCCGGCAUUCGUGCCGGUGUACUUCCCCGCGGGCGGGCCAGCGUCGGUUUGGGCGGCCGGUCAAAGGCCCUCGGAAUGUAACGCCCCCCGGGGCGUCUUAUAGCCGAGGGUGCCAUGCGGCCUGCCCGGACCGAGGAACGCGCUUCGGCUCGGACGCUGGCAUAAUGGUCGUAAGCGACCCGUCUUGAAACACGGACCAAGGAGUCUAACAUCUACGCGAGUGUUCGGGUGUCAAACCCGUGCGCGCAGUGAAAGCGAACGGAGGUGGGAACCCUCACGGGUGCACCAUCGACCGAUCCUGAUGUCUUCGGAUGGAUUUGAGUAAGAGCGUAGCUGUUGGGACCCGAAAGAUGGUGAACUAUGCCUGAAUAGGGCGAAGCCAGAGGAAACUCUGGUGGAGGCUCGCAGCGGUUCUGACGUGCAAAUCGAUCGUCGAAUUUGGGUAUAGGGGGCGAAAGACUAAUCGAACCAUCUAGUAGCUGGUCUG